Long non-coding RNA from Grus americana (Whooping crane), 1735 nucleotides. RefSeq lists it as uncharacterized. The record is from RefSeq and is a predicted model, not a curated record. NCBI's taxonomy places the organism in Eukaryota, Metazoa, Chordata, Aves, Gruiformes, Gruidae. The transcript is spliced from 3 exons.
AUUGAGGCGAGCGCGUGCUCCGGCGAGCACAUGGGCAGCGGGGCCCGGGCCGCUCCGCUCCGCGCUGCUCGGCCCUGCCUCGGCCCCGGCCUCUGCCCCGCGGCCGGACCGCCGGACCCCUUCCCGGGGAGGGGGGGCGCGGUCACAGCCCCGUGCUUCCCACCGGUCUGGAGUAACGUUUGGAGGAACCUGACAGCGUAGUUCUUUCGGUAGCUCCCAAGGAUUUUUAGGAUCAUGGGAUGUACGGACCUCCAAAACCCGCUGGAGAACAUCAGCUGCAGACAAAAGCAUCUGGAAAUUCCUGCCAUCUCUUUACCCUGUUUUCUCCUGGGUUGCCCCAUGUCAGUUGUUAAGGAAGCCUCUCCGGCCUGAGGAUUAUAGCAAACCGGUCACUUACUGGAAUACCUCCCCUUGCGUUUUCCCAAGAUGGAGCCGUUGCUUUACCCGGCAGAAGGAUAUUAUCUUCUUCUCCCAGAGCUUUCGCUGGGCAGCAGCACUCAUGUCCAGCAGUCUCUGCUAAAGGCAAGACCUUCCAAAGUCCUUGGCACCAUGCUCUGAAGGUGGCUUUUCCUAGUUAGGACACAGACCCUAUUGGACAUAUUUGUGUGGAGAAGUGGGGUCAGCUUCUCCUGAAGGUUUCGAUGUCCAACCUGAGCUUUGCAUCUGAGGAGGGGCAUGGAGGUGCUCAUAUCCACUGCUCCUUAUUCCUUCUCCUGGAUCACCCCAGACCCUCAGGCAGCUGCCUGUUGUGUUUGUAACCCACAGCUGGCACCACCUGUAUGUGGAUCUGCUUAUUGGGCUUCGUCGUAUGGUUUCAAAGUGUGUUGGGUUCGUGUGGCAAGGUUUUGGUAGCGGGGAGGGGCUACAGGGGUGGCUUCUGUGAGAAGCUGCUAGAAGCUUCCCCUGUGUCUGACAGAGCCAAUGCCAGCCAGCUCCAAGAGGGACCCGCCACUGGCCAAGGCCAAGCCAAUCAGCACCUCUGUGAUAACAUAUUUAAGAAGGAAAAAAACAGUUAGAGCUUUUGCAGCCAGAGAGAGGAGUGAGAAGAUGUAAGAAACUCUGCAGACACCAAGGUCAGUGAAGAAAGAGGGGCAGGAGGUGCUCCAGGCGCCAGAGCAGAGAUUCCCCUGCAGCCCAUGGUGAAGACCAUGGUGAGGCAGGCUGUCCCCUGUAGCCCAUGGAGGAAGGAUGAGGGGGUGUAGAGAUUCCACCUGCAGCCCAUGGAGGACCCCACGCCGGAGCAGGUGGAGGCACCUGAAGGACGCUGUGGCCUGUGGGAAGCCCGUGCUGGAGCAAGUUCCUGGCAGGACCUGUGGACCCGUGGAGAGAGAGGAGCCCACGCCAGGGCAGGUUUGCUGGCAGGACUUGUGACCCCAUGGGGGAUCCCACACUGGAGCAUUUUGCUCCUGAAGGUCUGCACCCCAUGGGAGAGACCACGCUGGAGAAGUUCGUGAAGGACUGUCUCCCGUGAGAGGGACUCCAUGCUGGAGCAGGGGAACGAUGAGAGGAGUCCUCCCCCUAAGGAUGAAGAAGCGGCAGAAACAACAUGUGAUGAACUGACCACAACCCCCAUUCCCCGUCCCCCUGUGCCGCUGAGGGGGGAGGAGGUUGAAGCCGGGAGUGAAGUUGAGCCCGGGAAGAUGGGAGGGGUGGGGGGAGGUGUUUUAAGAUUUGAUUUUAUUUCUCAUUCCUCUGCUCUGUUUUGCCUAGUAAUAAAUUAGAUGAAUUCCCUCUC